GGACUACUGGGGUUUCUAAUCCUGUUUGCUCCCCACGCUUUCGUGCCUCAGCGUCAGUGCUGGUCCAGAUGGCCGCCUUCGCCACGGGUGUUCCUCCCGAUCUCUACGCAUUUCACCGCUACACCGGGAAUUCCACCAUCCUCUACCGCACUCUAGCUCGCCAGUAUCCACUGCAAUUCCCAGGUUGAGCCCAGGGCUUUCACAACGGACUUAACAAACCGCCUACGCACGCUUUACGCCCAGUAAUUCCGAGUAACGCUUGCACCCUUCGUAUUACCGCGGCGGCUGGCAC
RNAcentral lists this ribosomal RNA (292 nucleotides) under uncultured bacterium. RNAcentral's name for it is "partial 16S ribosomal RNA". RNAcentral also lists the same sequence under 1 other name. The record is from RNAcentral.